RNA transcript from Homo sapiens (human), 7102 nucleotides. It is a transcript of the gene named PKD1P4-NPIPA8 readthrough, with no coding region annotated. The record is from RefSeq and is marked validated. The transcript is spliced from 35 exons. NCBI's taxonomy places the organism in Eukaryota, Metazoa, Chordata, Mammalia, Primates, Hominidae.
GACGUUGGGCUCCUGGCGAACCUCUCGGCGCUGGCAGAGCUGGAUAUAAGCAACAACAAGAUUUCUACGUUAGAAGAAGGAAUAUUUGCUAAUUUAUUUAAUUUAAGUGAAAUAAACCUGAGUGGGAACCCGUUUGAGUGUGACUGUGGCCUGGCGUGGCUGCCGCGAUGGGCGGAGGAGCAGCAGGUGCGGGUGGUGCAGCCCGAGGCAGCCACGUGUGCUGGGCCUGGCUCCCUGGCUGGCCAGCCUCUGCUUGGCAUCCCCUUGCUGGACAGUGGCUGUGGUGAGGAGUAUGUCGCCUGCCUCCCUGACAACAGCUCAGGCACCGUGGCAGCAGUGUCCUUUUCAGCUGCCCACGAAGGCCUGCUUCAGCCAGAGGCCUGCAGCGCCUUCUGCUUCUCCACCGGCCAGGGCCUCGCAGCCCUCUCCGAGCAGGGCUGGUGCCUGUGUGGGUCAGCCCAGCCCUCCAGUGCCUCCUUCGCCUGCCUGUCCCUCUGCUCCGGCCCCCCGCCGCCUCCUGCCCCCACCUGUAGGGGCCCCACCCUCCUCCAGCACGUCUUCCCUGCCUCCCCAGGGGCCACCCUGGUGGGGCCCCACGGACCCCUGGCCUCCGGCCAGCUAGCAGCCUUCCACAUCGCUGCCCCGCUCCCUGUCACUGCCACACGCUGGGACUUCGGAGACGGCUCCCCCGAGGUGGAUGCCGCUGGGCCGGCUGCCUCGCAUCGCUAUGUGCUGCCUGGGCGCUAUCACGUGACGGCCGUGCUGGCCCUGGGGACCGGCUCAGCCCUGCUGGGGACAGACGUGCAGGUGGAAGCGGCACCUGCCGCCCUGGAGCUCGUGUGCCCGUCCUCGGUGCAGAGUGACGAGAGCCUCGACCUCAGCAUCCAGAACCGCGGUGGUUCAGGCCUGGAGGCCGCCUACAGCAUCGUGGCCCUGGGCGAGGAGCCGGCCCGAGCGGUGCACCCGCUCUGCCCCUCGGACACGGAGAUCUUCUCUGGCAAUGGGCACUGCUACCGCCUGGUGGUGGAGAAGGCGGCCUGGCUGCAGGCGCAGGAGCAGUGUCGGGCCUGGGCCGGGGCCACCCUGGCAAUGGUGGACAGUCCCGCCGUGCAGCGCUUCCUGGUCUCCCGGGUCACCAGGGGGUGGAGGUGGGCCCAGCGCCGCAGGGCGAGGCCUUCAGCCUGGAGAGCUGCCAGAACUGGCUGCCCGGGGAGCCACACCCAGCCACAGCCGAGCACUGCGUCCGGCUCGGGCCCACCGGGUGGUGUAACACCGACCUGUGCUCAGCGCCGCACAGCUACGUCUGCGAGCUGCGGCCUGGAGGCCCAGUGCAGGAUGCCGAGAACCUCCUCGUGGGAGCGCCCAGUGGGGACCUGUAGGGACCCCUGAUGCCUCUGGCACGGCAGGACGGCCUCUCAGCCCCGCACGAGCCCGUGGAGGUCAUGGUAUUCCCGGGCCUGCGUCUGAGCCGUGAAGCCUUCCUCACCACGGCCGAAUUUGGGACCCAGGAGCUCCGGCGGCCCGCCCAGCUGCGGCUGCAGGUGUACCGGCUCCUCAGCACAGCAGGGACCCCGGAGAACGGCAGCGAGCCUGAGAGCAGGUCCCCGGACAACAGGACCCAGCUGGUCCCCGCGUGCAUGCCAGGGGGACGCUGGUGCCCUGGAGCCAACAUCUGCUUGCCGCUGGACGCCUCCUGCCACCCCCAGGCCUGCGCCAAUGGCUGCACGUCAGGGCCAGGGCUACUCGGGGCCCCCUAUGCGCUAUGGAGAGAGUUCCUCUUCUCCGUUCCCGCGGGGCCCCCCGCGCAGUACUCGGUCACCCUCCACAGCCAGGAUGUCCUCAUGCUCCCUGGUGACCUCGUUGGCUUGCAGCACGACGCUGGCCCUGGCGCCCUCCUGCACUGCUCGCCGGCUCCCGGCCACCCUGGUCCCCAGGCCCCGUACCUCUCCGCCAACGCCUCGUCAUGGCUGCCCCACUUGCCAGCCCAGCUGGAGGGCACUUGGGCCUGCCCUGCCUGUGCCCUGCGGCUGCUUGCAGCCACGGAACAGCUCACCGUGCUGCUGGGCCUGAGGCCCAACCCUGGGCUGCGGCUGCCUGGGCGCUAUGAGGUCCGGGCAGAGGUGGGCAAUGGCGUGUCCAGGCACAACCUGUCCUGCAGCUUUGACGUGGUCUCCCCAGUGGCUGGGCUGCGGGUCAUCUACCCUGCCCCCCGCGACGGCCGCCUCUACGUGCCCACCAACGGCUCAGCCUCGGUGCUCCAGGUGGACUCUGGUGCCAGCGCCACGGCCACGGCUCGCUGGCCUGGGGGCAGUGUCAGCGCCCGCUUUGAGAAUGCCUGCCCUGCCCUGGUGGCCACCUUCGUGCCCGGCUGCCCCUGGGAGACCAAUGAUACCCUGUUCUCAGUGGUAGCACUGCCGUGGCUCGGUGAGGGGGAGCACGUGAUGGACGUUGUGGUGGAAAACAGCGCCAGCCGGGCCAACCUCAGCCUGCGGGUGACGGCGGAGGAGCCCAUCUGUGGCCUCCGCGCCACGCCCAGCCCCGAGGCCCGUGUACUGCAGGGAGUCCCAGUGAGGUACAGCCCCGUGGUGGAGGCCGGCUCGGACAUGGUCUUCCGGUGGACCAUCAACGACAAGCAGUCCCUGACCUUCCAGAACGUGGUCUUCAAUGUCAUUUAUCAGAGCGCGGCGGUCUUCAAGCUCUCAGACGCUGCCAUGGCUGUGCUGACGGCCUCCAACCACGUGAGCAACGUCACCGUGAACUACAACAUCACCGUGGAGCGGAUGAACAGGAUGCAGGGCCUGCGGGUCUCUACAGUGCCAGCCGUGCUGUCCCCCAAUGCCACGCUGGCACUGACGGCGGGCGUGCUGGUGGACUCGGCCGUGGAGGUGGCCUUCCUGUGGACCUUUGGGGAUGGGGAGCAGGCCCUCCACCAGUUCCAGCCUCCGUACAACGAGUCCUUCCCGGUUCCAGACCCCUCGGUGGCCCAGGUGCUGGUGGAGCACAAUGUCACCCACACCUACGCUGCCCCAGGUGCUGAUCCGCAGUGGCCGGGUGCCCAUUGUGUCCUUGGAGUGUGUGUCCUGCAAGGCACAGGCCGUGUACGAAGUGAGCCGCAGCUCCUACGUGUACCUGGAGGGCCGCUGCCUCAAUUGCAGCAGCGGCUCCAAGCGAGGGCGGUGGGCUGCACGUACGUUCAGCAACAAGACGCUGGUGCUGGAUGAGACCACCACAUCCACGGGCAGCGCAGGCAUGUGACUGGUGCUGCGGCGGGGCGUGCUGCGGGACGGCGAGGGAUACACCUUCACGCUGACGGUGCUGGGCCGCUCUGGCAAGGAGGAGGGCUGCGCCUCCAUCCCCCUGUCCCCCAACCGCCCGCCGCUGGGGGGCUCUUGCCGCCUCUUCCCACUGGGCGCUGUGCACGCUCUCACCACCAAGGUGCACUUCGAAUGCAUGGGCUGGCAUGACGCGGAGGAUGCUGGCGCCCCGCUGGUGUACGCCCUGCUGCUGCAGCGCUGUCGCCAGGGCCACUGCGAGGAGUUCUGUGUCUACAAGGGCAGCCUCUCCGGCUACGGAGCCGUGCUGCCCCCGGGUUUCAGGCCACACUUCGAGGUGGGCCUGGCCGUGGUGGUGCAGGACCAGCUGGGAGCCGCUGUGGUCGCCCUCAACAGGUCUCUGGCCAUCACCCUCCCAGAGCCCAACGGCAGCGCAAUGGGGCUCACAGUCUGGCUGCACGGGCUCACCGCUAGUGUGCUCCCGGGGCUGCUGCGGCAGGCCGAUCCCCAGCACGUCAUCGAGUACUCGCUGGCCCUGGUCACUGUGCUGAACGAGUACGAGCGGGCCCUGGACGUGGCGGCAGAGCCCAAGCACGAGCGGCAGCGCCGAGCCCAGAUACGCAAGAACAUCACGGAGACUCUGGUGUCCCUGAGGGUCCACACUGUGGAUGACAUCCAGCAGAUCGCUGCUGCGCUGGCCCAGUGCAUGGGGCCCAGCAGGGAGCUCGUAUGCCGCUCGUGCCUGAAGCAGACGCUGCACAAGCUGGAGGCCAUGAUGCGCAUCCUGCAGGCAGAGACCACCGCGGGCACCGUGACGCCCACCGCCAUCGGAGACAGCAUCCUCAACAUCACAGGAGACCUCAUCCACCUGGCCAGCUCAGACGUGCGGGCACCGCAGCGCUCAGAGCUGGGAGCCGAGUCACCAUUGCGGAUGGUGGCGUCCCAGGCCUACAACCUGACCUCUGCCCUCAUGCGCAUCCUCACGCGCUCCCGCGUGCUCAACGAGGAGCCCGUGACGCUGGCGGGCGAGGAGAUCAUGGCCCAGGGCAAGCGCUCGGACCCGCGGAGCCUGCUGUGCUAUGGCGGCGCCCCAGGGCCUGGCUGCCACCUCUCCAUCCCCUAGGCUUUCAGCAGGGCCCCCGCCAACCUCAGUGACGUGGUGCAGCUCGUCUUUCUGGUGGACUCCAAUCCCUUUCUCUUUGGCUAUAUCAGCAACUACACCGUCUCCACCAAGGUGGCCUCGAUGGCGUUCCAGACACAGGCCGGCGCCCAGAUCCCCAUCGAGCGGCUGGCCUCAGAGCGCGCCAUCACCGUGAAGGUGCCCAACAACUCGGACUGGGCUGCCCGGGGCCACCGCAGCUCCGCCAACUCCGUUGUGGUCCAGCCCCAGGCCUCCGUCGGUGCUGUGGUCACCCUGGACAGCAGCAGCCCUGUGGCCGUGCUGCAUCUGCAGCUCAACUAUACGCUGCUGGACGGCCGCUACCUGUCUGAGGAACCCGAGCCCUACCUGGCAGUCUACCUGCACUCGGAGCCCCGGCCCAAUGAGCGCAACUGCUCGGCUAGCAGGAGGAUCCGCCCAGAGUCCCUCCAGGGUGCCGACCACCGGCCCUACACCUUCUUCAUUUCCCCGGGGACCAGAGACCCAGUGGGGAGUUACCGUCUGAACCUCUCCAGCCACUUCCGCUGGUCGGCGCUGGAGGUGUCCGUGGGCUUGUACACGUCCCUGUGCCAGUACUUCAGCGAGGAGGAUGUGGUGUGGCGGACAGAGGGGCUGCUGCCCCUGGAGGAGACCUCGCCCCGCCAGGCCGUCUGCCUCACCCGCCACCUCACCGCCUUCGGCGCCAGCCUCUUCAUGCCCCCAAGCCAUGUACGCUUUGUGUUUCCUGAGCCGACAGCGGAUGUAAACUACAUCGUCAUGCUGACAUGUGCUGUGUGCCUGGUGACCUACAUGGUCAUGGCCGCCAUCCUGCACAAGCUGGACCAGUUGGAUGCCAGCCGGGGCUGCGCCAUCCCCUUCUGUGGGCAGCGGGGCCGCUUCAAGUACGAGAUCCUCGUCAAGACAGGCUGGGGCCGGGGCUCAGGUACCACGGCCCACGUGGGCAUCAUGCUGUAUGGGGUGGACAGCCGGAGCGGCCACCGGCACCUGGACGGCGACAGAGCCUUCCACCGCAACAGUCUGGACAUCUUCCGGAUCGCCACCCCGCACAGCCUGGGUAGCGUGUGGAAGAUCCGAGUGUGGCACGACAACAAAGGGCUCAGCCCUGCCUGGUUCCUGCAGCACAUCAUCGUCAGGGACCUGCAGACGGCACGCAGCACCUUCUUCCUGGUCAAUGACUGGCUUUCGGUGGAGACGGAGGCCAACGGGGGCCUGGUGGAGAAGGAGGUGCUGGCUGCGAGUCACGCAGCCCUGUUGCGCUUCCGGCGCCUGCUGGUGGCUGAGCUGCAGCGUGGCUUCUUUGACAAGCACAUCUGGCUCUCCAUAUGGGACCGGCCACCUCGUAGCUGUUUCACUCGCAUCCAGAGGGCCACCUGCUGCGUUCUCCUCAUCUGCCUCUUCCUGGGCGCCAACGCCGUGUGGUACGGGGCUGUUGGUGACUCUGCCUACAGCACGGGGCAUGUGUCCAGGCUGAGCCCGCUGAGCGUCGACACAGUCGCUGUUGGCCUGGUGUCCAGCGUGGUUGUCUAUCCCGUCUACCUGGCCAUCCUCUUUCUCUUCCGGAUGUCCCGGAGCAAGGUUAUCAAUACUCUGGCUGACCAUCGUCAUCGUGGGACUGACUUUGGUGGAAGUCCUUGGUUACUUAUCAUUACUGUGUUUCUGAGAAGUUAUAAAUUUGCCAUCUCCCUCUGCACAAGUUACCUUUGUGUGUCUUUCCUGAAGACUAUCUUCCCAUCUCAAAAUGGACAUGAUGGAUCCACGGAUGUACAGCAGAGAGCCAGGAGGUCCAACCGCCGUAGACAGGAAGGAAUUAAAAUUGUCCUGGAAGACAUCUUUACUUUAUGGAGACAGGUGGAAACCAAAGUUCGAGCUAAAAUCCGUAAGAUGAAGGUGACAACAAAAGUCAACCGUCAUGACAAAAUCAAUGGAAAGAGGAAGACCGCCAAAGAACAUCUGAGGAAACUAAGCAUGAAAGAACGUGAGCACAGAGAAGAGGAGAGGCAGGUGUCAGAGGCAGAGGAAAAUGGGAAAUUGGAUAUGAAAGAAAUACACACCUACAUGGAAAUGUUUCAACGUGCGCAAGCGUUGCGGCGGCGGGCAGAGGACUACUACAGAUGCAAAAUCACCCCUUCUGCAAGAAAGCCUCUUUGCAACCGGGUCAGAAUGGCGGCAGUGGAGCAUCGUCAUUCUUCAGGAUUGCCCUACUGGCCCUACCUCACAGCUGAAACUUUAAAAAACAGGAUGGGCCACCAGCCACCUCCUCCAACUCAACAACAUUCUAUAAUUGAUAACUCCCUGAGCCUCAAGACACCUUCCGAGUGUGUGCUCUAUCCCCUUCCACCCUCAGCGGAUGAUAAUCUCAAGACACCUCCCGAGUGUCUGCUCACUCCCCUUCCACCCUCAGCUCUACCCUCAGCGGAUGAUAAUCUCAAGACACCUGCCGAGUGCCUGCUCUAUCCCCUUCCACCCUCAGCGGAUGAUAAUCUCAAGACACCUCCCGAGUGUCUGCUCACUCCCCUUCCACCCUCAGCUCCACCCUCAGCGGAUGAUAAUCUCAAGACACCUCCUGAGUGUGUCUGCUCACUCCCCUUCCACCCUCAGCGGAUGAUAAUCUCAAGAAACUAAGGAAGAAUAAAUAAAUAAUAUAAAAAUAAAAUGAAUACUGCAGUCCUUA